UGUUCCUUCCCGGGUGUUCUUCGCUGCAGUCAGCUCCUCAAAGCGUUUGGUAAGGCCCUCGGUCUUACACCCAGGAUGGCGUGGAACUCUCUUCGAGCCUCCUGCCUCAGCCUGCCUGGUGCUGGGGUCACGGUGUGUGCCAUCGCCCCACGCCCAGAGCUCCCUCCACGCGGGCCCGCGGGCGGUGCAGGGUGACCUGCGCCUGGGAGUUCGCCUCGCCCACACGCCCCCAGGCCAACUCCCCUAAGACCUGCCCGCGACCCGGAGACCACCCUGGAGACAGGAUGAACUCAGUCCUGGGCUCUGAAUCUGCCACUCAGCAAAAGCAUGAGCUCCCUCUUCAGGGACCAGCAGAGACUCAUGGGAUCUAAAAUUGCCGAAGAGUGACCCAGACAACUCUAAUCUCAUCUGGAUCCUGAAGACAUACCCCAGUGCCACGGCAGGUGACAGUUGCCGUGACAAUGAUGGGACCGAUUCCUAAAAGGAAUGAGAAGAGGCAGCUCCUGAACUCCCAGGAAGCACAUGGAUAUGCCUCCUCCUUAGCCUUUCCCUCCCCUCUCCCAACCAACCCCCAAGGGUAGGAAAGUUGAUUUGUGAGUGUAUCUCCUUGUAUUCUAGGCCAAGAAUAAAGGCCUGUUGUUUAAUUA
Molecule: long non-coding RNA, 647 nt
Organism: Heterocephalus glaber (naked mole-rat)
Lineage: Eukaryota; Metazoa; Chordata; Mammalia; Rodentia; Bathyergidae
Source: RefSeq, a predicted model, not a curated record